GGGGUUGUGGCUCAAUGGUGGAGUGCUUGCCUGGUAUGUGUGAAGUACUGGGUUUGAUUCUCAGCACCUCA
RNAcentral lists this transfer RNA (71 nucleotides) under Ictidomys tridecemlineatus (thirteen-lined ground squirrel). RNAcentral's name for it is "Spermophilus tridecemlineatus (thirteen-lined ground squirrel) tRNA". It matches the Rfam family "tRNA". Rfam says of the family: Transfer RNA (tRNA) molecules are approximately 80 nucleotides in length. Their secondary structure includes four short double-helical elements and three loops (D, anti-codon, and T loops). RNAcentral also lists the same sequence under 1 other name. Lineage: Eukaryota; Metazoa; Chordata; Mammalia; Rodentia; Sciuridae. The record is from Rfam by way of RNAcentral.